GAACAAGACCUCUGAGUGCACCACUUUACUUCUGGUUUAUAUAUAUCCAAAAGUAAAGAGGUGCACUCAGAGGUCUUGUUCAAUGUGUUU
Molecule: microRNA precursor, 90 nt
Filed under: Pelobates cultripes (western spadefoot toad)
Lineage: Eukaryota; Metazoa; Chordata; Amphibia; Anura; Pelobatidae
Source: RNAcentral